RNAcentral lists this long non-coding RNA (328 nucleotides) under Rattus norvegicus (Norway rat). RNAcentral describes it as "long non-coding RNA NONRATT015664". Lineage: Eukaryota; Metazoa; Chordata; Mammalia; Rodentia; Muridae. The record is from RNAcentral.
UCGGAGCUGGGGACUGAACCCAGGGCCUUGCGUUUGCUAGGCAAGCGCUCUACCACUGAGCUAAAUACCCAACCCUCAAAAUGCUUCUUACAAGCCUUCCCUCUCACCUCCUCCUCCCUUCCAGGGCCCUGUGAGAGGAGGUGUUUCAGUCUGGCCAUGCUGGCCUGGAGCUCAGGGCCCCUGACCACAAGCCAACCAGAAAACCUCACCUCUACAUAGCCUUGUUCAUGCCUCAGACUCCUCUUACUUCUCCCCUACACCCUUGUGGGAUCCAGUGAGAGAAACAAGACAUUGCUGCAUCCGGAGUAUCCAAAAAAAAAAAAAAAAA